GAAAAGAAGUGAUAAUGAGAUUUACCAAUAGUAGGCAUGGUUGUGGUAAGGGUUUCUCCGGUUUUGAGUUUGUGCAUUAUUGAUGAUUUUCCGGCAGCGUCGAGACCGAACAACACUAUCCUCGAUUCUUCUUGGUGGAAAAAACCGGCAAAUGGCUUUCCCAGAGCUGUCCCCAUUUUUUUCUGGUUCUUGCAACGAAGUUGACUUUGUUUGUUUCGCUUUGGAAAAUCUGAAUCACAAGGAGAGUCCUUGAGAGAGUUUUUCAAAGUCAAGUGGUGGUUAAAGCUUAAGAGUUAAGAGUUGU
Molecule: long non-coding RNA, 304 nt
Organism: Arabidopsis thaliana (thale cress)
Lineage: Eukaryota; Viridiplantae; Streptophyta; Magnoliopsida; Brassicales; Brassicaceae
Product: other RNA
Exons: 1
Source: RefSeq